GGAGGAACGCUUGGGAUCGCAAGACCUUGCGCUCAUUGAGCGGCCGCCGCCUGAUUAGCUAGUUGGUGAGGUAAAGGCUUACCAAGGCGACGAUCAGUAGCUGGUCUGGGAGGACGACCCCCCACACUGGGACUGAGACACGGCCCAGACUCCUACGGGAGGCAGCAGUGGGGAAUUUUGGACAAUGGGGGAAACCCUGAUCCAGCCAUGCCGCGUGAGUGAAGAAGGCCUUCGGGUUGUAAAGCUCUUUCAGCCGGAACGAAACGGUCACGGCUAAUACCUGUGACUACUGACGGUACCGGAAGAAGAAGCACCGGCUAACUACGUGCCAGCAGCCGCGGUAAUACGUAGGGUGCGAGCGUUAAUCGGAAUUACUGGGCGUAAAGCGUGCGCAGGCGGUUUUGUAAGUCAGAUGUGAAGUCCCCGGGCUUAACCUGGGAACUGCGUUUGAAACUACAAAGCUAGAAGGG
RNAcentral lists this ribosomal RNA (470 nucleotides) under uncultured beta proteobacterium. RNAcentral's name for it is "bacterial SSU rRNA". It matches the Rfam family "Bacterial small subunit ribosomal RNA", at positions 188 to 649 of the family's 1533-position model. The record is from RNAcentral. Lineage: Bacteria; Pseudomonadati; Pseudomonadota; Betaproteobacteria.